AGGCAAUCUAAUCUUUCAUGGAAUCAUACAUGGGCUGAAUUGAAUUUAAGUUACCAAGCAAAAACAUGAAUUAAACCCAUCUUGACAUAUAAAAUACCAUUGUAAAGGAAAAUUCCAUAAUUUAAUUAAUAGAGAAGGUUUUUGGGAUCAAUGGGUAAAAGGGACCCAUUGAUGAAUACCCCACAUACUUUAAGCUUCUUAACUUGGGAAAGAAACCCUAUUCUUGAUGCUUUCUUGAUGUUAUUGAACUUGGGAAGCUUGAAUUCUUGAUUACUUAGGGAAAAAAGAAUUAAAGGGGGUGGGGGUUGGGGUGGUUGUUCUUGAGAGUGCUUUUGAGAAAAAGGGCAAAUAAUGCCCUAAAAGAUUCCCCAAGUCGUGUUAUGGAUGAUUUUGGUUGAGGGGAAAAAAUACUUAAUUUCCCCUUAGUAAUUUAAAUCAAGAACUGGAUGCAAUAUCCUCAUAGUGAUGCGGUCUUAUCACAGUCGAAGGAUUCUCUCACCGUGAUACGGUCUGCAUGAGGUCAGGAAUAAUGCUGCGAGGCGGGCUUAUCACGAUGACCCACUAGUUUCGUGAUCUAAACAUACCCUAAACCUUGUCCAAAAAAUCUUAAACUCCUCCAAGACAUACUUCAUACAUUCCUAAAUAGGAAUUAACUCAGAAACCAACUUCUCGAGGUCGUAAAGUCCAAAAUAAAAAUCCUCAAAGUUUAGGGGUCUUGAAAAUAACUAAGUCACCAACACUUAGUGAAAAUUUCAAGCCUUAAGCCCCUUAUGCAUGCAACUAGGAACUGAAUCGAGCCAAGAAUAUUGUGGGGUAUUAUGUGGAGUCUCUAUGCUAUAUCCCACAAAAAAUAGGUCAUGCGCCAGAUCUUCCCUCAGAGCUAGCGUUUAUCAGCUUCAAGGCCUUAGAAGAGAAAGUUGAAGUCAUUCCUCGAUUGGAGAACACUGUUGUUCCUAAUGGCCUACACCCUCCUUAUAUUUCUCAAGUUGCACAGCUUUCUUGCCAAUUUUUAUUUGGUAUUAUUGAAGAAAAUGGAGUGUUAAAUAGACCACUCUGUCGCAUAAAGAGACCAGUGGAGUGUUCUA
Molecule: long non-coding RNA, 1085 nt
Filed under: Capsicum annuum
Lineage: Eukaryota; Viridiplantae; Streptophyta; Magnoliopsida; Solanales; Solanaceae
Description: long non-coding RNA (CANN_LNC019561)
Source: RNAcentral